This 497-nucleotide ribosomal RNA is filed under the name uncultured bacterium. RNAcentral describes it as "partial 16S ribosomal RNA". It matches the Rfam family "Bacterial small subunit ribosomal RNA", at positions 28 to 507 of the family's 1533-position model. The record is from RNAcentral.
GAUGAACGCUGGCGGCGUGCCUAACACAUGCAAGUCGAGCGAACAGACGAGGAGUUUGCUCCUCUGACGUUAGCGGCGGACGGGUUAUUACCACGUGGAUAACCUAUCUAUAAGACUGUGAUAACUUCGGGAAACCUGAGCUAAUACCGGAUAAUAUAUUGAACCUCAUGGUUCUAUAGUGAAAGACGGUUUUGCUGUCACUUAUUGAUUGAUCCUCGCCGCAUUAGCUAGUUGGUAAGGUAACGGCUUACCAAGGCUACGAUGCGUAGCCGACCUGAGAGGGUGAUCGGCCACACUGGAACUGAGACACGGUCCAGACUCCUACGGGAGGCAGCAGUAGGGAAUCUUCCGCAAUGGGCGAAAGCCUGACGGAGCAACGCCGCGUGAGUGAUGAAGGUCUUCGGAUCGUAAAACACUGUUAGUAGGGAGGAAGAAAUGUGUAAGUAACUAUGCACGUCUUGACGGUACCAAAACAGAAAGCCACGGCUAACUACGUG